RNAcentral lists this ribosomal RNA (112 nucleotides) under Pycnococcus provasolii. RNAcentral describes it as "partial Eukaryotic large subunit ribosomal RNA". It matches the Rfam family "Eukaryotic large subunit ribosomal RNA", at positions 3269 to 3380 of the family's 3401-position model. The record is from RNAcentral. Lineage: Eukaryota; Viridiplantae; Chlorophyta; Pseudoscourfieldiophyceae; Pseudoscourfieldiales; Pycnococcaceae.
CGUAUUGCAAUAGUACAGUGCGCAGGAUUGAAUCCUUUGCAGACGACUUAGUUGUCUAGCCGGGUCGUGUAAGCAGUCGAGUAGCCUUGUAGUUACGAGCUGCUGAGCGUAA